GUAACAGAGGGAAACUUCUGAUAAUACUGAUAAGUUAGUAUAUCGCAUGAUAUGCAAAUAGAAAGCUACGGCACUAAAGGAGAGCUUUGCGUCCUAUUAGCUAGUUGGUAAGGUAAGAGCUUACCAAGGCGAUGAUAGGUAGCCGGCCUGAGAGGGUGGACGGCCACAAGGGGGACUGAGAUACGGCCCUUACUCCUACGGGAGGCAGCAGCC
Molecule: ribosomal RNA, 213 nt
Filed under: uncultured Leptotrichia sp.
Lineage: Bacteria; Fusobacteriati; Fusobacteriota; Fusobacteriia; Fusobacteriales; Leptotrichiaceae
Description: partial 16S ribosomal RNA
Rfam family: Bacterial small subunit ribosomal RNA
Source: RNAcentral